This 946-nucleotide long non-coding RNA is filed under the name Numida meleagris (helmeted guineafowl). RNAcentral describes it as "lncRNA (ENSNMEG00000002973.1)". Lineage: Eukaryota; Metazoa; Chordata; Aves; Galliformes; Numididae. The record is from RNAcentral.
CCCCAAAAAUGGAGACCCCAAAGCCACCCAGAUCCCAACCCCAUGGGGCACCAAGAGGAGAAGAUCCCAAACCCGUGGGUGGAAGAUCCCAAUGGGGGAAGAUCCCAAUGGGGGAAGACCCCAAUGGGGGAAGAUCCCAAUGGGGGAAGAUCCCAAACCCAUGGAUGGAAGACCCCAAUGAUGGAAGAUCCCGAGGGGGGAAGAUCCCAAGGGGGGAAGACCCCAAACCCAUGGACGGAAGACCCCAAUGGGGGAAGAUCCCAAUGAUGGAAGAUCCCAAACCCAUGGAUGGAAGACCCCAAUGGUGGAAGACCCCAAACCCAUGGAUGGAAGAUCCCAAUGGUGGAAGAUCCCAAUGGUGGAAGACCCCAAUGGUGGAAGAUCCCAAUGGGGGAAGAUCCCAAUGAUGGAAGACCCCAAUGGUGGAAGAUACCAAUGAUGGAAGAUCCCAAUGGGGGAAGAUCCCAAACCCAACAUGAUUGGGAUCCCCCAAAAAUGGAGACCCCAAAGCCACCCGGAUCCCACAACCCCAUGGGGCACCAAGAGGAGAAGAUCCCAAACCCAACGACAUCGGGAACCCCCAAAGAUGGAGACCCCAAAACCACUGAGAUCCCACAACCAUGGGGCACCAGGGAUGGAAGACCCCAAUGGUGGAAGAUCCCAACCCCAUGGAUGGAAGAUCCCAAACCCAAUGACAUUGGGAUCCCCCAAAAAUGGAGACCCCAAAGACACCGGGAUCCCAACCCCAUGGGGCACCAAGAGGAGAAGAUCCCAAACCCAUGGAUGGAAGAUCCCAAUGGGGGAAGACCCCAAUGGGGGGAAGACCCCAAUGAUGGAAGAUCCCAAUGGGGGAAGAUCCCAAUGGGAGAAGAUCCCAAUGGGAGAAGAUCUCAAUGGUGGAAGAUCCCAAAGAUGGAAGACCCCAAAGAUGGAAGACCCCAAAGCC